This is a long non-coding RNA of Pieris brassicae (large cabbage white), 426 nucleotides long. RefSeq lists it as uncharacterized. The transcript has 2 exons. The record is from RefSeq and is a predicted model, not a curated record. NCBI's taxonomy places the organism in Eukaryota, Metazoa, Arthropoda, Insecta, Lepidoptera, Pieridae.
UGAUAAAAAAUAAAAAAAUAGAAUACUUACAUCAAACAUGUUUUGGAGGACCUAGUUUAAACUCAAAAUAGAUAAAAAUACUUGUUUAAUUUAGUGUAAAUAUAACAACGUCUUGCCAAUAAUAACCUUUUAUGAAUAUUGUGAAGACGAUAUUGAUUUUGACCGUAAAGCCCAUCUCGCAAAGGGGCUAGUUAAAGCCAUCAGAAGUAGUCGUCAAGAAUGAGGAAGAAAAUUGCCAACAAUUUAAAUGUUGAGAGAAGACGAAGAGAACGAAGAGAUAGUAUACCAAGACCACAAAUCUAUUUUGAAUGCAGUUUGGACAACUAUGAUUUUUAUAUGAAAAAUUGUAUUACCAUGUUUAAGAUAAUUGUGUACUUCAUAAUAUUUUUUAAUGUAAUAAUAUAGUUAUAUUAUUAAGAUGAUUAA